RNAcentral lists this transfer RNA (91 nucleotides) under Holosporales bacterium. RNAcentral describes it as "tRNA-Ser". It matches the Rfam family "tRNA". From Rfam's summary of the family: Transfer RNA (tRNA) molecules are approximately 80 nucleotides in length. Their secondary structure includes four short double-helical elements and three loops (D, anti-codon, and T loops). Lineage: Bacteria; Pseudomonadati; Pseudomonadota; Alphaproteobacteria; Holosporales. The record is from RNAcentral.
GGAGAGAUGCCAGAGCGGUCGAUUGGGGCGGUCUCGAAAACCGUUGCGCGACGAACUCGCGCCGGGGGUUCGAAUCCCCCUCUCUCCGCCA